GCGAGCCGGACCCGCACCCUGCCCGGGCCCCCCCGGACAGCGCCCAGCCCUGCUGUCUCCAAGGAGCUGUGGGCCAGGAGGACGGGUGAAACCACCUGGGGGGAACCCCUGAAACUGAGAAAAGACGAGACCAGAGGCCUGGCGCCCCGAACAGGCAGGUGAGAGGGGCCAUCUGCAGCUGCCGUCAGUGCCCAGCACCUCCAGCCGCCCCUGCACAGAGAAAAGAAAAUCCCAAAUGGGCUUUUUUAGGGCUGAGCUGGAAAGCCCAAGGACAUUUCAGUCUCAGCACAGUGAGCCUUAGGGAGUCACGGGGACACCUCUGCAACACCAGCCCAGGCCAAGCUGGAUCCAGCGCCUCGGAGUUUGGGACUGGCACGGGGACGUGCAGAGCGAAGUGGCACUGGCUGAAAUGACGAAUGAGGAAGAGGAGCAGGAGUUAUGGGAAGGGUCACCUUUCCCUGUGGAGACAGUUUAAGAGAUGGAAAAGUCCAUGUAGAGGAGAAAACCAGGAAGGACACAGAGCUGAGAAACAGGAGAAAGCUGCCUAAUGAGCAGAAAGGACCAGGAGAUAGCUGGGGAGAUAGCCAUGCCACCGAAGAGAGCAUGAGGGGGAGUUAUUGACACAGAGGGCACAUUGCUAAAAAUUAAAUCUAUCCCUUCCUCAGCUAGUGUUGACAAAAGAGGACGGGUAGGAGCUAUCACCACCAGACACAUGCAUCCCAGGAGAGGAUGAGACCCCAGAGGAUACUGGGCAUCGGACUGGUGCAAGAAAUCAGCUUCUCUGUGGGUGCAGGCAGGCUCUGCCCUGGGUGUCUGUAGGAAAUAAAUUCAAACCCUUGUUGGAAACUGGGGGCCAUGUAGGCUGGAGGGCACCCAGCGAAGCACCAGCACCUGCGGGCACCAGGGAGGAUCCAGGAGUGCUUCUGGCCCUCAUGGGCACCCCCUGAGCACGAGGGGAAGCACAGGGCCACAUGAUCAGGUGGGAGAAAUGCCACACUAAUUGUGCAUAAAACAGUGUGAUAACAACAGUGGUGCUGCAGAAAAAUGCACCAGAACAUGAGCUCAGCUGGCAGGGCUUCAAAACCCUCCAAAACUCAGCACAUCCAAAACCAGGUUGUGGAAGACGAGACACCGAACUCCUCAGCAAGGGGAUGGGGGCUUCUGUCCGUCAGGCUCGGCCCAGGGAUGCUCCGACCUCCGUGAGCCCUCACUGCAAUACCAGCAUUUACCGCCUAGAGAGCCCAGCCAGCCCGCAGCAGCCGGCGAUGGCGGGAGGCAGCGGCUGCUGCGGCAGGGCUCGCAGCCUGGACGUCCCCACGUCGGUGCCCGGGAGCACGACACCACCGUGGCAUUUCUUGCAGCACGGCAGUGCGAGGGAGGACGCGCUUGCAGGGACAGAGCAGCAGAGAGGGGAAAGGGAAUACUGCCGAGGACUGACGCCACUGCUGCGUCCCGCCAGACAGAAGGGGACCACCGGGCACCCAGCACGCGGGGGACACCAGCGCCCCAGCACCGAGAAGCAGCAGAAUAAAGGUCCUCCGGUAAAAUGUAUGAAGCAAGGGGCGGUCUGAGCUCAGUAUUGUAGGCAGCAGAGAAAAAACGGUCCCAGAGCACCUCCGGAUCCACCCCAGGGCGCUGGGCAGGCGUCUGCAGCUGCGGUGUCACGAGCGGGCGUGGGCCGAGAGGAAAGAGGACGGAGCGGAGGAGCCGGUGGCUCCGCGCCUUGUCCGACACCGACUGCGGAGCAGCUUUACGGGUGCCCUCACCCGCUCCUGGGCACGGCAUGAGCAGGCUCUCCCGGCCUGCCAGCCCGCAGCAGCGCUAAGGCUGGAGGAAGCAGGAGGAAAUUACAAGCUGCUGAGUGAGAAUGAGGCCAAAUUGAGAGAGGAAUUGGGCAUUUUUGCAGGUUACGAGCGCAGGCAGAGUUUCAACAGUUGAUGCUAAAGAAGUUCUGGGAGUGAUAGACUCUGGGUUUAAGCUCAUCUUGAGCUAGCUGGGGUUAGGAGGAGACUUCACAAGGGAUGUGCUGUCAGAAAACCCUGCCAUGUCGUCCCAGAUCCACUUCCAGUGGGAGCUGACACGUGUCUACCGACUUCAGAAGAGUCAAGGAGAUUUAAACUGGCCAAGGGUUUGGCAGUGAGAGAUUAGGCUAAUAUUUCAGUGCUUGAAUAACUCUAAGCGAUUGGAUCACACAAAACCAGCUCUUGCAAGGGCUGUGGUGCCCUUCUGUGACCCGGAGGGGUUUGAUGGGCGAUGCUGGAAGAGCCUGUGAUCCCAGGACGUCACUGACUGUGCCCCAGGAGCAGCGCUUCGGAGAGGCUGUGAAACUGCGAAUCA
This is a long non-coding RNA of Dromaius novaehollandiae (emu), 2337 nucleotides long. RefSeq lists it as uncharacterized. Lineage: Eukaryota; Metazoa; Chordata; Aves; Casuariiformes; Dromaiidae. The transcript is spliced from 2 exons. The record is from RefSeq and is a predicted model, not a curated record.